This 402-nucleotide ribosomal RNA is filed under the name uncultured prokaryote. Its description in RNAcentral is "bacterial SSU rRNA". It matches the Rfam family "Bacterial small subunit ribosomal RNA", at positions 355 to 774 of the family's 1533-position model. The record is from RNAcentral.
UAGGGAAUAUUCCGCAAUGGGCGAAAGCCUGACGGAGCAACGCCGCGUGAGUGAAGAAGAUCUUCGGAUUGUAAAGCUCUGUCAACAGGGACGAUAAUGACGGUACCUGUGGAGGAAGCCACGGCAAACUACGUGCCAGCAGCCGCGGUAAUACGUAGGUGGCAAGCGUUGUCCGGAAUAACUGGGCGUAAAGCGCAUGUAGACGGCAUAGCAAGCCAAGUGUGAAAUUUAGGGGCUCAACCUCUAAACUGCGCUUGGAACUGCUGAGCUUGAGUGCAGGAGAGGCAAGUGGAAUUCCCAGUGUAGCAGUGAAAUGCGUAAAUAUUGGUAGGAACACCAGUGGCGAAAGCGGCCUCCUGGACCACUCCUGACACUCAGACGCGAAAGCUAGGGUAGCAAACG